Molecule: ribosomal RNA, 120 nt
Filed under: Scophthalmus maximus (turbot)
Lineage: Eukaryota; Metazoa; Chordata; Actinopteri; Pleuronectiformes; Scophthalmidae
Source: RNAcentral
GCUUACGGCCACACCGCCUGGUUCCACGCCCGAUCUCGUUUGAUCUCGGAAGCUAAAAUAGGUUGGGCCUGGUUAGUACUUGGAUGGGAGACCGCCUGGGAAUACCAGGUGCUGUAAGCU